GACGAACGCUGGCGGCGUGCUUAACACAUGCAAGUCGAACGAAGAGCGAUGGAAGCUUGCUUCUAUCAAUCUUAGUGGCGAACGGGUGAGUAACGCGUAAUCAACCUGCCCUUCAGAGGGGGACAACAGUUGGAAACGACUGCUAGUACCGCAUACGAUCUAAUCUCGGCAUCGAGGAUAGAUGAAAGGUGGCCUCUACAUGUAAGCUAUCACUGAAGGAGGGGAUUGCGUCUGAUUAGCUAGUUGGAGGGGUAACGGCCCACCAAGGCGAUGAUCAGUAGCCGGUCUGAGAGGAUGAACGGCCACAUUGGGACUGAGACACGGCCCAGACUCCUACGGGAGGCAGCAGUGGGGAAUCUUCCGCAAUGGACGAAAGUCUGACGGAGCAACGCCGCGUGAGUGAUGACGGCCUUCGGGUUGUAAAGCUCUGUUAAUCGGGACGAAAGGCCUUCUUGCGAAUAGUGAGAAGGAUUGACGGUACCGGAAUAGAAAGCCACGGCUAACUACGUG
RNAcentral lists this ribosomal RNA (510 nucleotides) under uncultured bacterium. RNAcentral describes it as "partial 16S ribosomal RNA". It matches the Rfam family "Bacterial small subunit ribosomal RNA", at positions 28 to 507 of the family's 1533-position model. The record is from RNAcentral.